AAAUCUUUUUCCCGAAUUCCAGCCACUAGAGCUAGUACCACAAUGAGCUAUCCUUAGUAUGUCCCAUUUCUGAGU
Long non-coding RNA from Etheostoma spectabile (orangethroat darter), 75 nucleotides. RefSeq lists it as uncharacterized. The transcript is spliced from 3 exons. NCBI's taxonomy places the organism in Eukaryota, Metazoa, Chordata, Actinopteri, Perciformes, Percidae. The record is from RefSeq and is a predicted model, not a curated record.